GUUUACUGUUGCUCGCCUUUAUCAAUACAAAGAACUGGCAAUCGAAUCACUGAACAUAAUCGAUGUCCACGCUUUGGCUGUACUGAAGUCUGAAGAUUUCUUGCUCUUGUUGCCGGAGCUCUUCAAGAAAUUCUCAUCCGCGACUCGUUUUAUGCUUUCGAAAUGGACAUAUUCCGUGCGGUUCGUCGCUGGAUCGAUGAGAACCAAAAUUACGUAGAUCCUGAUAAUAAAAACAAAGCUUUAUCUGCCGUCAGAUAUUCGUUAACGAGUGAUGAAGAACUAUCCGAGGUUAGGGAAUCGCAGAUGACAAUUGCGUUAAUGUCAACUACUUUGACAAUUCAGUUAUCUUCAAAACCGACGACGGUAUUACAAUAAAGUUGGGUCAUCUGUCAUUAAUAAACU
Molecule: long non-coding RNA, 402 nt
Organism: Adelges cooleyi (spruce gall adelgid)
Lineage: Eukaryota; Metazoa; Arthropoda; Insecta; Hemiptera; Adelgidae
Exons: 3
Source: RefSeq, a predicted model, not a curated record